GACGAACGCUGGCGGCGUGCUUAACACAUGCAAGUCGAGCGGGAAACUUCGGUUUCCAGCGGCGGACGGGUGAGUAACACGUGGGCAACCUGCCUCACAAUGAGGGAUAGCCUUCCGAAAGGAAGAUUAAUACCUCAUAACACAAGAGAAACGCAUGUUUCUCUUGCCAAAGAAUUUCGUUGUGAGAUGGGCCCGCGGCGCAUUAGCUUGUUGGUGAGGUAACGGCUCACCAAGGCUUCGAUGCGUAGCCGACCUGAGAGGGUGAUCGGCCACAAUGGAACUUGGACACGGUCCAGACUCCUACGGGAGGCAGCAGUGGGGAAUAUUGCACAAUGGAGGAAACUCUGAUGCAGCAACGCCGCGUGAGUGAUGAAGGUCUUCGGAUUGUAAAGCUCUGUCUUCUGGGACGAUAAUGACGGUACCAGAGGAGGAAGCCACGGCUAACUACGUGCCAGCCGCCGCGGUAA
This 467-nucleotide ribosomal RNA is filed under the name uncultured bacterium. Its description in RNAcentral is "partial 16S ribosomal RNA". It matches the Rfam family "Bacterial small subunit ribosomal RNA", at positions 28 to 523 of the family's 1533-position model. The record is from RNAcentral.